RNAcentral lists this transfer RNA (67 nucleotides) under Rhynchothorax sp. JZ-2022. Its description in RNAcentral is "tRNA-Glu". The record is from RNAcentral. Lineage: Eukaryota; Metazoa; Arthropoda; Pycnogonida; Pantopoda; Tanystylidae.
GUUCUUAUAAUAUAAGUGUAAUAUAUGACACCUUCAAAGUCAACCUGUGUUUCAAACUCUAAGAAUG